AUGAACGCUGGCGGCGUGCCUAAUACAUGCAAGUCGAGCGAACAGACGAGAAGCUUGCUCCUCUGACGUUAGCGGCGGACGGGUGAGUAACACGUGGAUAACCUACCUAUAAGACUGGGAUAACUUCGGGAAACCGGAGCUAAUACCGGAUAAUAUAUUGAACCGCAUGGUUCAAUAGUGAAAGACGGUUUUGCUGUCACUUAUAGAUGGAUCCGCGCCGCAUUAGCUAGUUGGUAAGGUAACGGCUUACCAAGGCAACGAUGCGUAGCCGACCUGAGAGGGUGAUCGGCCACACUGGAACUGAGACACGGUCCAGACUCCUACGGGAGGCAGCAGUAGGGAAUCUUCCGCAAUGGGCGAAAGCUUGACGGAGCAACGCCGCGUGAGUGAUGAAGGUCUUCGGAUCGUAAAACUCUGUUAUUAGGGAAGAACAAAUGUGUAAGUAACUAUGCACGUCUUGACGGUACCUAAUCAGAAAGCCACGGCUAACUACGUG
RNAcentral lists this ribosomal RNA (496 nucleotides) under uncultured bacterium. Its description in RNAcentral is "partial 16S ribosomal RNA". It matches the Rfam family "Bacterial small subunit ribosomal RNA", at positions 29 to 507 of the family's 1533-position model. The record is from RNAcentral.